Molecule: non-coding RNA, 1520 nt
Organism: Pimephales promelas (fathead minnow)
Lineage: Eukaryota; Metazoa; Chordata; Actinopteri; Cypriniformes; Leuciscidae
Source: RefSeq, a predicted model, not a curated record
UUUCAAUGGACGGACAGAAAACUCUCGGACUAAAUCUAAAACAUCUUAAACUGUAGAGGAAGAGGAACGGAGGUCUUACAGGCUUGGAACGACAUGAGGAGCGGGCUUUAGAGCUGGUGAUGGUAUAGGAAAGAUGAUAAAGACUAGCAAUGAGGCCUGUGUAUCCGAGCAAUGAGAGUCUAGCGUCGGGGAGAAGUUAAAACGGUUGCAGUCGGAGCUCCUUCUCCAAUUCCAGCACUUCAAGUUCACGGCAUAGAGGUCAGAACCAGUAGGAAUUGGAAGGCCAAGAGGCAGUAGAUCAAGCAGUGUCACGGCUGCGACAUAGUGAGCUGGUGGGGCCAGUGGCAUCUGGACGGGCAGGACUCGCUUUAACAAGGCCCAGGGGAAGGAAAGAGGCAGCUGAUUCAAGAGGAAGGCCGAGCUGGGGUAUAAGAAGUCCACUGCAGCAGGCCAGUAGGGAUGAAGCAGCAUGGACUCAUGGGAGCAUGGGAGCAGGCGGCAGACCGGAAGAAAUCCUGGACAGAAUUGUUGAAGUCAGAGCCACACUGGAUUAAAUUCCUGGUUUAGUCUAUGGGGCCUGGCAGAGACACCACUGUGCCCAGUCUGUGGAGGAGGUUCAUUGGAGCACAUCAUAAGCUGCUGCUCAAAAGCACUGGGAGAGGGGCGCUACCGUUGUCACCACGACCAAAUAAUGAAGGUCUUUGCAGAGGUUAUCAGGACUGGGAUCGCCUGCAGUAAAUACCAGCAACUAGCAAGACAGAACAUCGCCUUUGUGAAAGCUGGGGAGAACCCACACCAGCACCUGAGGCAAUCAGGGCAACAGCACAGGACUGACAGCUGAAGGUUGACCUUGGGAAACAGCUCAAAUUCCCAGAAAACAUUGCAGUGACCACACUCAGGCCAGACACUGUCUUAGUGUCAGAAAUAACAAGGCAAGUGGUCCUGCUGGAGUUGACUGUUCCCUGGCAGGACUGGAUGGAGGAGGCUUUUGAGAAGAAGAGGGCCAAAUACGAGGAGCUGGCAGGCUGAAGCAAGGGGUGGAGGAUCUGAUGAAAUCCCAUCGAGCUCAGGUGCAAAGGAUUUGUUGGCCAGUCACUGAUUAGGGCCCUCAAGAUGCUUGGAGUGGAGGGACUGGACAUCAGGAAAGCUGUCAAGAACAUCAUGGAUGCCGCGGAAAAGGCAUCAAGAUGGCUGAUGAUCCAACAAGCGGGGUGAUCCAUGGAUCAUACAAGGUACUCAGACUGAUGAACCCUGGCUGGGUGUCACACUGACUCACAUAUGUGCCCAAGACUUCCUUCUUCCAUUUGGCAUGACAUUUACAGAUGUAUGGUGCUCAGUAAAUGUUAGACAGUGUGAAAAGUGUGAUAACACACCCCGCUCUCCCCCCUACUGCUUCUUGUAUUGCAGAUAGCAGAAUAGGGGUGCCACACAUAUUCUGUAAAACAGGUUGCAUCAUUUGUGGUUCAGGUCUUUUGUAUGUGCUUCGUUAAAGGUUCUCGAUCCUGGGUGUUGACGUUCGG